GCGUAAGCGCGCGCAGGCGGUUUCUUAAGUCUGAUGUGAAAGCCCACGGCCUCUCCGUGGAGGGUCAUUGGAAACUGGGGAACUUGAGUGCACCAGAGAAAAGCGGAAUUCCACGUGUAGCGGUGAAAUGCGUAGAGAUGUGGAGGAACACCAGUGGCGAAGGCGGCUUCCUGCUCUGUAACUGACGCUGAGGCGCGAAAGCGUGGGGAGCAAACAGGAUUAUAUACCCUGGUAGUCCACGCCGCAAACGAUGAGUGCUAAGUGUUAGAGGGAUUCCUCCCU
RNAcentral lists this ribosomal RNA (282 nucleotides) under Priestia flexa. RNAcentral describes it as "Bacillus flexus partial 16S ribosomal RNA". It matches the Rfam family "Bacterial small subunit ribosomal RNA", at positions 563 to 839 of the family's 1533-position model. Lineage: Bacteria; Bacillati; Bacillota; Bacilli; Caryophanales; Bacillaceae. The record is from RNAcentral.